Molecule: ribosomal RNA, 435 nt
Filed under: uncultured bacterium
Lineage: Bacteria
Description: partial 16S ribosomal RNA
Rfam family: Bacterial small subunit ribosomal RNA
Source: RNAcentral
AGCGAACGCUGGCGGCAGGCUUAACACAUGCAAGUCGAACGGGCAUCUUCGGAUGUCAGUGGCAGACGGGUGAGUAACACGUGGGAACGUACCCUUCGGUUCGGAAUCACUCAGGGAAACUUGAGCUAAUACCGGCUACGCCCUUUUGGGGUAAGGUUUACUGCCGAAGGAUCGGCCCGCGUCUGAUUAGCUUGUUGGUGGGGUAACGGCCUACCAAGGCGCCGAUCAGUAGCUGGUCUGAGAGGAUGAUCAGCCACACUGGGACUGAGACGCAGCCCAGACUCCUACGGGAGGCAGCAGUGGGGAAUAUUGGACAAUGGGCGCAAGCCUGAUCCAGCCAUGCCGCGUGAGUGAUGAAGGCCUUAGGGUUGUAAAGCUCUUUUGUCCGGGACGAUAAUGACGGUACCGGAAGAAUAAGCCCCGGCUAACUUCGUG